RNAcentral lists this small nuclear RNA (23 nucleotides) under Arabidopsis thaliana (thale cress). RNAcentral's name for it is "snRNA_08361". The record is from RNAcentral. Lineage: Eukaryota; Viridiplantae; Streptophyta; Magnoliopsida; Brassicales; Brassicaceae.
GAACUACCAUCUAAAUCUAUUGA